CUCGCCCGUCGCUGAAAUUGCUCCCCCCGUCCCCCGCACGAGAACCUGAUUUCUUCCGCCGCCUCGCCCCCUUCCCUCCGCCGCCGCCGUCCCUCCACUCUUCGGUGCCCGUCCUCGAUCCGGGGUCUCCAAAUUCGGACGAUAUUGGCAGGAUCCGCCACAUCUCCCGCGAAACCCAUCCGCGAGCUGCUCGUCGGCCAUGCGGGGAGCAUGGACGAGCUGCUCGUCGACGUCCAUCCCACACCCCCGUCGACGACGGUGCCCAGCCUCCUCGAUAGCGCGCCUCCUACUUGCCGCACGCCAGAUUUUAUAGUAGGGGAAGGAUGGAUACUGCAGGGCUUUCAUAUGUUUUUUUGAUUUUUGCGGAUAGGGCUUUCUUAUAUUCUGGCAAGAGUCAAGCUAGCAACCGUGAAGAUGCAGAAUUCAUGCAACCUCCAACCCUCAGCAAAGGGAAGAAGCCUCAGUUGGUAGCUAUGGAGGGGAGUGAUCCUUCGUUGGAUGAAAAAUUGGUGUAAAAAUUGGUUCUCCUCCCCCCGUGUCGCUGCCACCAUCGAUGCCGCAAGGUAUGUAUGCUUUUCUAGCUGCUUGGUAGCUUCAACUUGGUGAUGACGACUACCUAUGGAGUAAAGUUAAAGGUCCCGUGCUCCUGUUGUUCUUCAGGACUUUUUUUCUUUUGCUCAAACCAGCAUAAACUAUUCAGAGUUUUAACAGAGAAAAUUGGUCCUGUGCUUCCUCAUGAAAUACAAGAAAAGCUCAAUUGUUUAGAGGAAGAGUACUUCAGGAGCCACUCUUCAGCCAUUAAGUCAUAUAUCUCAGAGCUGGAUAUAGAUUUAACAGUGGGCAUGGUACCCCCCAGGGAUCCUUAUAUCCAGGUUUGGGUGCUGGAGGACUUUGGUGAAGUAUCUCUUGGUGACCAUUCCAUAUCAUUGACCAAAAUUUGCUCCACUUCCUUAGGCGCACAGAUGCAAAACAAUUUAUAUCACAUGUUUGCUAUCUGUUACGCUAUAUUUUCCCACUCUGAAAUCUUAAUAUUUCCAGUAAGAAUAAUAUUCUGUUUAAUUUUAAUAGGGUCUCAUGGAAGAAUUUCUGGAUUAGGGAUCACAUAUGAUGUAAAAUAGUCUGGUGGAAUAUGCACUCUUGAGGUUCUGAUCGAGACUAUGCGAAAAAGGAAAGAACAUAUGCUAUCUUCAGGGUGAACCUCUGGACCUCUCAAAUUAGAAGUAACCAGGAGCUGCGCAAAUUGAUGAAGCUGAAGUAGCGCAGUUUGUAGGAGAAGUUGGCCCAGUUUGGCCCCGACCACAUUUUUUGGGACACAUUUUGGCCCCAACCACAUUCUUUUCCUCGGCCAAAGUCGAUUUGUUCUCUAGAAAGAAAAUACACAAUUAGCGGCAGCAGCUACUAGUCGCCUGAGCUUGGACAGAGGGUGCCGAUACUCCUUGUGCAUCUGGACCAUGAUCUAUCCUUCGAUGAUUGGCCAAAUUUUCAAAGUUUGCCUGGUGGUAAUCCGUCGUGAUCCAAACCAACGGACACAAAAGGAAGUCACUCAUAUUCAUCGUGAUGCUCACGUCGUGGGAGAUUUGGAACGAGUGGAAUGCCUGCGGUUUUCCGGAACAUUUACACCUUGCCAACAACGAUCUUCGCAAAGAUCAAGCGUGAGGCGGCAUGUUGGGGCAAAACACUUGAGAUGAUCAUGCCACGAGAGUAAUUCCUUGCAUAUUAUUGUGCCCUCGGGCAAGUGUUGUAAUCGUAAAUCUUAUUAGUGAAAUGAGGCAAAGCUUUUUACCAUAAUUAAAAAAAUUAUCCGCAGCAGCAGCAGCAUACCUGAACAACAGCCCUGAGGUGACCGGUCCUGUUGUAAUUGUCUUCCUCGAUGAUAACCUCCCCUGACAAAGGAAGAAAUGAGGCCAAGCUUUGACAUUUAUUUAAAUUGGG
Long non-coding RNA from Triticum aestivum (bread wheat), 1932 nucleotides. RefSeq lists it as uncharacterized. Lineage: Eukaryota; Viridiplantae; Streptophyta; Magnoliopsida; Poales; Poaceae. The transcript is spliced from 6 exons. The record is from RefSeq and is a predicted model, not a curated record.